UGCCUUAUAGCUCAAUGGUUAGAGUAUCUGUCCGGUUAUCAGAAGGUUACGUGGUUCAAUUCCCGUUGGGGCUC
Molecule: transfer RNA, 74 nt
Filed under: Paramuricea clavata
Lineage: Eukaryota; Metazoa; Cnidaria; Anthozoa; Malacalcyonacea; Plexauridae
Rfam family: tRNA
About the family: Transfer RNA (tRNA) molecules are approximately 80 nucleotides in length. Their secondary structure includes four short double-helical elements and three loops (D, anti-codon, and T loops).
Source: Rfam by way of RNAcentral